RNAcentral lists this non-coding RNA (206 nucleotides) under Clostridioides difficile. RNAcentral's name for it is "Clostridium difficile T-box sequence". It matches the Rfam family "T-box leader". From Rfam's summary of the family: Uncharged tRNA acts as the effector for transcription antitermination of genes in the T-box leader family. T-boxes are found upstream of many aminoacyl-tRNA synthetase genes and some amino acid biosynthetic genes usually in Gram-positive bacteria. The anticodon of a specific tRNA base pairs to a specifier sequence within the T-box motif, and the NCCA acceptor tail of the tRNA base pairs to a conserved bulge in the T-box antiterminator hairpin. Lineage: Bacteria; Bacillati; Bacillota; Clostridia; Peptostreptococcales; Peptostreptococcaceae. The record is from RNAcentral. RNAcentral also lists the same sequence under 21 other names.
UAAAAAGCUGUGAAGGAAAAUAGUAAAAAACAGAUUGUAUUCAGAGAAUGAGUGGAUGGUGAAAACUCAUUACAAUGGUUUUUGAAUCUACUCUAGAGCUUCUAGUUAAAGCUAGACGUUUACCUACGUUAUAGGUCUGAGAGGAUUAUACAUUUUAGUAUAGUCAAUUAGGGUGGCAACGCGGAUAAAAGAUUUUCGUCCCUUUU